UCCUUUAGUCAGCAUUAGGGUUUUAAACCCUAAACUAAACUUUUUUCCAUUCAGCCAGCAUUAGGGUUUUAAACCCUAAACUGAGCUUUUCCAUGCAAUCAGCAUUAGGGUUUUAAACCCUAAACUGAACUUUUUUCCAUUCAGCCAGCAUUAGGGUUUUAAACCCUAAUAUGAGCUUUUCCAUGCAAUCAGCAUUAGGGUUUUAAACCCUAAACUGAACUCUUUCCUUUCAGUUAGCAUUAGGGUUUUAAACCCUAAACUGAACUUUUCCUUUAGUCAGCAUUAGGGUUUUAAACCCUAAACUGAACUUUUUCCUGCAAUCAGCAUUAGGGUUUUAAACCCUAAACUGAACUUUUUUCCAUUCAGCCAGCAUUAGGGUUUUAAACCCUAAACUGAGCUUUUCCAUGCAAUCAGUAUUAGGGUUUUAAACCCUAAACUGAACUCUUUCCUUUCAGUCAGCAUUAGGGUUUUAAACCCUAAACUGAACUUUUCCUUUAGUCAACAUUAGGGUUUUAAACCCUAAACUGAACUUUUUCCUGCAAUCAGCAUUAGGGUUUUAAACCCUAAACUGAGCUUUUUUCCAUUCAGCCAGCAUUAGGGUUUUAAACCCUAAACUAAGCUUUUCCAUGCAAUCAUCAUUAGGGUUUUAAACCCUAAACUGAACUUCUUCCUUUAGUCAGCAUUAGGGUUUUAAACGCUAAACUGAACUUUUUUCCAUUUAGCCAUCAUUAGGGUUUUAAACCCUAAACUGAGCUUUUCUAUGCAAUCAGCAUUAGGGUUUUAAACCCUAAACUGAACUUUUCCUUUAGUCAGCAUUAGGGUUUUAAACCCUAAACUGAACUUUUUCCUGCAAUCAGCAUUAGGGUUUUAAACCCUAAACUGAACUUUUCCUUUAGCCAGCAUUAGGGUUUUAAACCCUAAACUAAGCUUUUCCAUGCCAUCAUCAUUAGGGUUUUAAACCCUAAACUGAACUUUUCCUUUAGCCAGCAUUAGGGUUUUAAACCUUAAACUGAACUUUUUUCCAUUCAGCCAGCAUUAGGGUUUUAAACCCUAAACUAAGCUUUUCCAUGCAAUCAUCAUUAGGGUUUUAAACCCUAAACUGAAUUUUUCCUUUAGUCAGCAUUAGGGUUUUAAACCCUAAACUGAACUUUUUUCCAUUCAGUCAGCAUUAGGGUUUUAAAACCUAAACUGAACUUUUUCCUUUAAUCAGCAUUAGGGUUUAAAACCCUAACUGAACUUUUUUCCAUUCAGCCAGCAUUAGGGUUUUAAACCCUAAACUGAGCUUUUCCAUGCAAUCAGCAUUAGGGUUUUAAACCCUAAACUGAGCUUUUCCAUGCAAUCAGCAUUAGGGUUUUAAACCCUAAACUAAACUCUUUCCUUUCAGUCAACAUUAGGGUUUUAAACCCUAAACUGAACUUUUUUCCAUUCAGUCAGCAUUAGGGUUUUAAACCCUAAACCGAACUUUUCCUUUAGUCAGCAUUAAGGUUUUAAAACCCUAAACUGAACUUUUUUCCAUUCAGUCAGCAUUAGGGUUUUAAACCCUAAACUGAACUUUUCCUUUAGCCAGUAUUAGGGUUUUAAACCCUAAAC
This 1590-nucleotide long non-coding RNA is filed under the name Nicotiana tabacum (common tobacco). RNAcentral's name for it is "long non-coding RNA (NTAB_LNC003484)". The record is from RNAcentral. Lineage: Eukaryota; Viridiplantae; Streptophyta; Magnoliopsida; Solanales; Solanaceae.